This 205-nucleotide long non-coding RNA is filed under the name Nicotiana benthamiana. Its description in RNAcentral is "long non-coding RNA (NBEN_LNC004634)". Lineage: Eukaryota; Viridiplantae; Streptophyta; Magnoliopsida; Solanales; Solanaceae. The record is from RNAcentral.
AUAAAUGUGGGCUCAGAUAUACACGGCCAGCAGUAAUCAUCAUAGCCCAUUACAGGUAUACCAUGAGUAUACAGUAAAUAUACAAUGAAUAUGUCACUUAUCCUUUGGUUUGGAUUCUCAUCUCAACAACCCCACCUAGCACUUUCAAGCGGAGCCACUGUUAUAGUCAUAGUUUUGCUAGAACCCCAUCAUGUUGUUACAAAUC